AGAGUGAACGCUGGCGGCAGGCCUAACACAUGCAAGUCGAACGGCAGCACAGGGGAGCUUGCUCCCUGGGUGGCGAGUGGCGGACGGGUGAGGAAAACGUCGGAAUCUGCCUAUUUGUGGGGGAUAACGUAGGGAAACUUACGCUAAUACCGCAUACGCCCUUCGGGGGAAAGCCGGGGAUCGCAAGACCUGGCGCGGAUAGAUGAGCCGAUGUCGGAUUAGCUAGUUGGUGAGGUAAUGGCUCACCAAGGCGACGAUCCGUAGCUGGUCUGAGAGGAUGAUCAGCCACACUGGAACUGAGACACGGUCCAGACUCCUACGGGAGGCAGCAGUGGGGAAUAUUGGACAAUGGGCGCAAGCCUGAUCCAGCCAUACCGCGUGGGUGAAGAAGGCCUUCGGUUGUAAAGCCCGUUUUGUUGGGAAAGAAAGCAAUCGGUUAAUACCGGUUGUUCUGACGGUACCCAAAGAAUAAGCACCGGACUAACUUCGUAGCCAGCAGCCGACGUAAU
This 509-nucleotide ribosomal RNA is filed under the name uncultured soil bacterium. Its description in RNAcentral is "bacterial SSU rRNA". It matches the Rfam family "Bacterial small subunit ribosomal RNA", at positions 26 to 524 of the family's 1533-position model. The record is from RNAcentral.